Molecule: long non-coding RNA, 565 nt
Filed under: Triticum aestivum (bread wheat)
Lineage: Eukaryota; Viridiplantae; Streptophyta; Magnoliopsida; Poales; Poaceae
Description: long non-coding RNA (TAES_LNC025013)
Source: RNAcentral
UGAAACAUGGGUAAGAUACUGUAGCCCAUGAUAGGCUGCUAUUUCGACAAAUGUUGAUACUGGAAAGAAAUGGAAUUUUUUUGAUACAUUGACAUUGCUGUAAGUUCAUAUGUCAUCUAAACUAAAAGUACAUAAUAUUUGCCACAAGCUGGUACAAACACGGAGUGACAGUACACAGGGUGAACUAAUAAAACUCAAUGUCAUAGAACGUUCAUAGCGCCUUACAAGUCAUUGCUGACAUGAAGCAGCAAGGCGCAUUCAAAGUUAUACACAUGUGCCAUGUAGCUUCCUGCAAGAUGAUAUGUUAGAUAUAGUCCAAAAAAGGUUAUUUAAUCAUAGCUAAAAGAGGUUAUUUAAUCAAGGAAGACGUAUGACGGAAAUGAUUAGUUUAUCGACAACUAAGCUUUUGGUCAAGAAACUUGCAAGUGACUUAAGAAGACCAGACUCGUCGCUCUCUAUCUUCCUUACAAGUCAUAAAAGCACAAACAUGGUUUGGUACCAAAUGUAUAGUCGAAUCUGGAAUUGACUGCUCCCAGGGACCAAACCUCCCCUAUGGAGGUCCUCU